This 56-nucleotide transfer RNA is filed under the name Camelus bactrianus (Bactrian camel). It matches the Rfam family "tRNA", at positions 9 to 63 of the family's 71-position model. From Rfam's summary of the family: Transfer RNA (tRNA) molecules are approximately 80 nucleotides in length. Their secondary structure includes four short double-helical elements and three loops (D, anti-codon, and T loops). RNAcentral also lists the same sequence under 1 other name. Lineage: Eukaryota; Metazoa; Chordata; Mammalia; Artiodactyla; Camelidae. The record is from Rfam by way of RNAcentral.
AGCUCAGUGGUAGAGUGCGUGCUUAGCAUGCAUGAGGUCCCGGGUUCAAUCCCCAG